CCUACGGGUGGCAGCAGUGAGGAAUAUUGGUCAAUGGUCGGGAGACUGAACCAGCCAAGCCGCGUGAGGGAGGAAGGUACAGAGUAUCGUAAACCUCUUUUGUCAGGGAACAAAGGCGGGGACGUGUCCCCGGAUGAGUGUACCUGAAGAAAAAGCAUCGGCUAACUCCGUGCCAGCAGCCGCGGUAAUCCGGAGGAUGCGAGCGUUAUCCGGAUUUAUUGGGUUUAAAGGGUGGGCAGGCGGUCUGUUAAGUCAGCGGUCAAAGCCCGGGGCUCAACCCCGGCCCGCCGUUGAAACUGGCAGUCUUGAGUGGGAGAGAAGUAUGCGGAAUGCGCGGUGUAGCGGUGAAAUGCAUAGAUAUCGCGCAGAACUCCGAUUGCGAAGGCAGCAUGCCGGCUCCACACUGACGCUGAGGCACGAAAGCGUGGGGAUCGAACAGGAUUAGAUACCCUAGUAGUC
This 459-nucleotide ribosomal RNA is filed under the name uncultured bacterium. RNAcentral's name for it is "partial 16S ribosomal RNA". It matches the Rfam family "Bacterial small subunit ribosomal RNA", at positions 338 to 795 of the family's 1533-position model. The record is from RNAcentral.